UUUUAAUAACCCAUGAUGGAAUUACUUAGGACUGAACAUAUUUAAUUACUGAACUGAGAUUGUGUUCAUUAUUUUCAGUGAUUAUAAGAUUUUCUAUUUUAUAAGACUGACCAGAGAAUUAUAUAGCCUCAGUAAGUUUUUGCACAGGAGUAAAAGAAAAAGAGCCCUGAAGUGCAAAUUUAAAGAAGAAAAAUAAAGUUAUUGUCUGAUUGUAUCCAUAGGGCCAUGUUAUUACAAGAUUUUGAUUAUAUAAUGUACUGUGCAGUCUCCUUAGGAUAAAUAGGACUUAAUACAUGUUAUGUAUUAUACAUAGUAAUGUACGGUAAUAUAUGUGUUGUAUAAUGGUGGUGAGAUAACUUCAAAUUUCUCCCCAUUAAAAGCUGAUGAAAAACCUUGGCCAGAUCUGGUGAAGAAAAUUAUCUAUAUUCUCAGGAGUUCCCGUCGUGGCGCAGUGGUUAACGAAUCCGAUUAGGAACUACGAGGUGGCAGGUUCGGUCCCUGGCCCUGCUCAGUGGGUUAGGGAUCCGGUGUUGCCCUGAGCUGUGGUGUAGGUCGCAGACAUGCAGCUCAGAUCUGAAGUUGCUGUGGCUGUGGUGUAGGCUGGUGGCUGCAGCUCUGAUUAGACCCCUAGCCUGGGAACCUCCAUGUGCUGUGGGUGUGGCUCUAGAAAAUACCAAAAAAAAAAAAGAAAAUUAUCUAUAUUCUCAUUCAGUCUCUAUGCCGUUUUCCUCUUUAGUCUUUUUCUUUUUGCUUCGUGAGCUCAGAUUUAUUGGAGCUUUCAUUGUAAAUACAGAUAAAUUGGACUUAUAUUAGUUAUUAUGCCAGAAAAUUUUAAAUACAUUGUAAAUAAAUAACCAGGUAUAUUGUUUGAUGUAAAGUUUUUUUUUUUCCUUUUCUUUGAUAUUCAUUGAAAGACUCUUACUGUUAGCUACUUGUUACCCUUAAAUGGAUUUUUAUCUCUUUUUGAGGCUUAGUGGCAGUCUAUCUUCUCUGUUCCGAAUAAUUUGAGUUAUGUGUCUCAGUCCUCAACUCCUCCUACAAAAUGCUGUGUUCUGCAUCAUAAAGUGGCUUUUAUAGCCCCACUUCUUUGGCAGAAACUGUAAGAUUGGCGUUUGAGCUUCUAAUGGCACUUUAUUGACAGCUGUGUCACCUUGGAAAUUCCUGUAUGACUCCAUUUAAAGGUCUCUUAAACUGUGGCAUGUUGAAGUCUCAUUAAUUAAUGGAAAAACUAAUUGCUUUUCUCCUCCAUGUGAAUUGCAUUCAUCAUGAUCACAUCUUAAUUCUCACACUUCUCAGAAUAAAUAUUCUGCUUUCUUCACUAACUCCGUGUACAAUGAUACUGGAAAAAUUUUUUUAUUUUAUUUUGUUUUUACAAUAUAAAGUUGCUUUAGAAACAGGCAAGUUAUUUGACAAGGAAAGAUAAUUGCUGUGUAUGUUUUAAGAAACCCUUAACCCAAGACUUGACUUAUGAACUGGUGUGUUAGGGAAUCACUAUUCAUAUUUCUCAUAUUAAGUACUUUUUUAUUAUUUUAUUUAAAACUUUAUUUAAAACCUGGAGUUUUUAAAGUUUAGUUCAGUUUUACACGAUGUUUGUCUAGUAGGAAUUUAGGCUGUUAAACAUGCGGAAAUUAUAAUGGGAUGUCAACAUGUGACUGCUCUGACUCCUUUCUGACCUUGUCUCUUGGCUUCCCUGGCGCACAGCCCUGCAGACUAGGAGAGGCAACGUGCGAUGAUUAAGUUAGUCUCAUUCUGCCUGACGUUGUUCUGACAGGUUGGGCUUCCAAUCUCAGGGCUGCUCUGUUCACUCACUAGAACUCCAUUUGGUUUGUUUUCUGAAUCUAGGUACAAGUUGAUCACUUGUAGUUUUCUUGACCUAGCUUACUUCUGCUCAUGUUAAGGAAAAUUCUAAAAAAUAGCCACUAAGAAAUUAAAUUAUGAAAAUAAUACAUUCUCUAAAGUCUAAUCUGUAAUUAGAUUGAUUUUAUUAGUCAUGGUAUGGUAUAUUUUCUUUUUGGUGGGGGCAUACCUGCAGCAUAUGGAAGUUCCCAGGUUUGGGAUUGAAUCAGAGCUGCAGCUGCUUGCCUAUGCCACAGCCACAGCAACACCAGAUCCGGGCUGUGUCUGCGACCUACACUACAGCCCACAGCAAUGCUGAUCCCCAACCCACUGAGAAAGGCCAGGGGUGAACCCUCAUACUCAUGGAUAUUGAUCGGAUUCAUUUCCUCUGCACCACAAUGGGAACUCCUAUUGUUACAUAUUGUUUGUAGAAUUCAUUUCUAUGAAAUGCUCCAUUUAAUCCUAUCAAUUACCCACUUUGACUUCAAUGCCUUCAACAUGCAGAAUUGCACUUUAGGUAUGUUAGAGCAACUUAAAAUAUUUUUCCACUUUAUAAUAUCAAUCUGUGAUCUUUCCAUGAUUUGAAAAUGGGCUGAAGUUUUUAAGCAAAUAUAAGUUAAGUUCUCCAGAUAUUUGACAUGUAUUUCUAUUAUUUAUUUAUUUUGGUAUCUCCUCCAAAAUAUAUCCACUUGGUUAUUCAAUACAUAUAAUUUGGAAAUCUGCUAUGAUAUUAGAAUGGGAAAUCUUUAAUCCUGGAUGCUAACUGCUGUGCCUCCUGCACUGAACAGUACUUUACUUUGGCAAUCAGGAAAGUGUAUGUUGCUAAAUGUAGGGGUGAGGGAUCUGACUUCCUUGGAACUUCUGAGAAAUUCAUAUGCAUUUGUGUAUAUAUCUAUUGUUAUAUUUGUUUCAAAGUACAAGUAAGAUUUUUUGAGCACAUUGUCUAUUAAUAUCAUAAUUGUAUUGUAGGUCUCUGUAUUAGGAACAUGCUACCCAAAGUAUUAAGCUUUCUUUAUAAAAUAUAGGAAGAGAGAGAGAGAUUAUAUACAACUAAAAAAAUCUGAAAAUGGGAAAAUGCCAGGACUGGACAAGGACACCUUACAGUGUUAGGUGAACAAGCAAAAUCCAUUAUGGAUUGUGUUCCUCACAUUCUUCUUAGGAUUUAAAGGGCAGCAACCCCUGAUCCUGAGCACAGGAGACUCAGCUCUCAUGUUUCACUAUCUGGAGUGUUUUGAGCAGCUUCUGGUCUCCCUCACCUGUCUUCAUGGCUGCAUCCCUGACUGAACUCUGGGGUUCAGUUUCUCACCAGUUGUACAAAAGAUGCUAGGUUCUGACCUGAAUUUUUUUAUAUCAUUUUCUCUAUUUUAAAAAUAUUACUCUUCCUACAAUUUUCCUACUGAAAAUACAUUCCUAGAAAUUGAAGUUAGGUGCCCCAGAGAAUGAGUAUUUUGGUUUUUGUAGUGUGAAUAUUUGAAAUGGCAAUUUUUCAAGCACACACAUUUUCAUGAUAUUUUUAUGGU
Molecule: long non-coding RNA, 3356 nt
Filed under: Sus scrofa (pig)
Lineage: Eukaryota; Metazoa; Chordata; Mammalia; Artiodactyla; Suidae
Description: lncRNA (ENSSSCG00030045270.1)
Source: RNAcentral